AUCUUAUAAAAAUACUCUUAGUUCGGAUUGAAAUCUGCAACUCGAUUUCAUAAAGUAGGAAUCGCUAGUAAUCGUAAAUCAGAAUGUUACGGUGAAUACGUUCUCGAGCCUUGUACACACCGCCCGUCACACCAUGGAAGUAAAUUGUAUCAUAAGUAAUUUUAUUAUUACAAGGGUAUGGUUUGUAACUGGGGUGAAGUCGUAACAAGGUA
This 212-nucleotide ribosomal RNA is filed under the name Candidatus Carsonella ruddii. RNAcentral's name for it is "partial 16S ribosomal RNA". It matches the Rfam family "Bacterial small subunit ribosomal RNA", at positions 1271 to 1498 of the family's 1533-position model. The record is from RNAcentral. Lineage: Bacteria; Pseudomonadati; Pseudomonadota; Gammaproteobacteria; Oceanospirillales; Halomonadaceae.